CCGCCAUCUCAACAACUCUCCCUUUCGAAUGAUUUUUUUUCAUCAUUUUAUCAUCUUUCAAUAAAUUUGUGGCUAUGCCUCCCUUACAUUAAAAAUAAAAAUAAAAAAAUGAAAAAAAAAAAUUGAUUGAGAUGUUAUUAAAAAUCUUUGAUUGAAUAACCAACCAAUAGGAUGUACUCCCCGAGUUCAAAAUCAAAAUAAAAAGAGGAUCACCGCAUGCAUCCGUACAAAGUAGAAAUGACUCGUACGAUUCCUCUAAUUAAAUUUUUUC
RNAcentral lists this long non-coding RNA (271 nucleotides) under Elaeis guineensis (African oil palm). RNAcentral describes it as "long non-coding RNA (EGUI_LNC013432)". The record is from RNAcentral. Lineage: Eukaryota; Viridiplantae; Streptophyta; Magnoliopsida; Arecales; Arecaceae.